UCCGUCUUGACGACGGCAGUCCCUUUGGAGUGCCCAACUAAAUGAUGGCAACCAAAGGCAAGGGUUGCGCUCGUUGCGGGACUUAACCCAACAUUUCACAACACGAGCUGACGACAGCCAUGCAGCACCUGUCUCCUCGUCCCUUGCGGGCCUACUGCAUCUCUGCAGUAUUCGAGGGAUGUCAAACCCAGGUAAGGUUCUUCGCGUUGCUUCGAAUUAAACCACAUGAUCCACCGCUUGUGCGGGCCCCCGUCAAUUCCUUUGAGUUUUAGUCUUGCGACCGUACUCCCCAGGCGGGAUACUUAUCGUGUUAACGUCGACACGGCAGGGGUCAAGACCCGCCACGUCUAGUAUCCAUCGUUUACAGCGUGGACUAC
RNAcentral lists this unclassified non-coding RNA (377 nucleotides) under uncultured Oligoflexales bacterium. RNAcentral's name for it is "contains 16S-23S intergenic spacer region". Lineage: Bacteria; Pseudomonadati; Bdellovibrionota; Oligoflexia; Oligoflexales. The record is from RNAcentral.